CUCAACGAACACAACACUACAAGAGAAAAAAAAAACAAAUAAAAAUGGAGAAAGCUUCUUUGAAGUUGGUGUUGGUGUUUGUUUUGGUAUUUUCCACGACCUGUUUUCCAGAAGGAGCUGAAGCCCUUGGAUAUUGUUCAAGUGACUCUGAUUGUCUCUCCCGCUGCCCAACAGGCUGCACAGAUGCUCAUUGUCAGUACGUAGCAGAAGGUGAUUUCGAGUGCUAUUGCGGCCUAAAUCCCUGUCUUGGGUGAUCAUCAUAUAUAAUACAUGCAUCGCUUUGAUAUUCAUAUAUAUUGAGCUGAUCAUCAGAAUAAAUUCCUGAUGCAAUAACAGGGGUGAUCUUGUAUCUCUUUUAAUUUAUAAUAAUACAACUAAGUGAUAAAUUAA
Long non-coding RNA from Populus trichocarpa (black cottonwood), 390 nucleotides. RefSeq lists it as uncharacterized. The transcript has 2 exons. Lineage: Eukaryota; Viridiplantae; Streptophyta; Magnoliopsida; Malpighiales; Salicaceae. The record is from RefSeq and is a predicted model, not a curated record.